RNAcentral lists this long non-coding RNA (1417 nucleotides) under Homo sapiens (human). Its description in RNAcentral is "HSALNT0025422". Lineage: Eukaryota; Metazoa; Chordata; Mammalia; Primates; Hominidae. The record is from RNAcentral.
CAGCAACGCAAUUUACUUCUGCAGAAGCGUGCUGCUCGCAUCAAUCACGAUCGCAAGAGCACACUGAACAGAGGAAAGCAGGGGUUUUUAUUCCUAACGCAGUCCCUACCUCUGGCAUGGGCUGGGGUCAGACCGCACGAUCUAAACUGACCCGGUUGGCUAUUUGUGAAUAUUUUCCCAAAUAAGGAAGGGGGAAGGGGGAUGUGAGUUACAAUGGUGGGACUUGCGGUUUCCAAGGGAGAAAUGGGUGCAGAGCAGGUAACCAAGGGAACAGAUGUGAGUUAUUGAUUAGAACUGACGGAAGGUUGUUUACAGUAACUAAGGGCAAGGAGGCAUGGAGAACAAGAAAGUUGAGUUCGAAAACAAAAAAACAAGAAAGUUAACAUGCCAAACCUUGGAAGAGAAACUGACUGUAUCUGACAGCUUUAUACAUUUUAGGGAAACAGGAGACAUCAAUCAACAUAUGUAAGAUGAACACUGGUUUGAUCCGGGACAACCUGAAGCAAAAGCGGGUCAACUCGAAGCCAGGAGGGGGCUUCCAGGUCACAGGUAGGUGAGAGACAAACGGUUGCAUUCUUUUGAGUUUCUGAUUAGCCUUUCCAAAGGAGGCAAUAAGAUAUGCAUUCAUCUCAGUGAGCAGGGGAUGACUCUGAAUAGAAUGGGAGGCAGGUUUGCCCUAAGCAGUUCCCAGAUUGACUUUCCCCUUUAGCUUAGUGAUCUGGGGGGCUCAAAACAUUUUCCUUUCCAAUUUCCCCCUUUUCUUUUAAAAAUAUUUUGGAGAAAGCAUUUUAGAAGAAAAUCAGUCUCUGGUCCCAGGUUUUGUCCAAUCUCUCAUGGAGUAGCUGGGAUUACAGGCACUGGACACCACGCCUGCCUAAUUUUUUUUUUUUUUUUUUCGUAGAAAUGGGGUCUCCCUCAGUUGCCCAGGCUGGUCUCUGGUGCCCAACGCCGGGCUCCCGGUAAUCUCUACAAAUAAUCCAGUGAAGGAAUGCCAGAGAGUGGAAAGUGGAGGAUGACUGACAAAGGACGCCCGAGUACGUUUUCACUUCAAGCUCUACAGGAGAGAAUCAGCUUCCUGUCUGGGUACCCACAAGACAUCUUAAGCUGUGCCAUGAGACAGAGUCCAAGAAGAGGAAAAGACCUCAGAAUGUCUCUGCGCCCCCAGUUCGUCAGACGGCUCAGAUGAACAUCUCUGUUGAGCAGAUGGAAACCAGUAAAACUCCCCAAGCAACUCCACCGACCUGGGGGCAGAUGAAGAGACUGGCUCACAUUGCAGAAGAGAACCUGAGGUCUCAGAACAAGCCGCUGACCACCAGUAAUCUAAUGGUAGCUAUGAUGGCGGUAAUCUCCUUGGUGAUGCCGACGGCGCCUUGGUAGAGAAGCCAGACACAGUGAACGAAAUAGCAAUGGCGGUUAU